RNAcentral lists this ribosomal RNA (476 nucleotides) under uncultured bacterium. RNAcentral describes it as "bacterial SSU rRNA". It matches the Rfam family "Bacterial small subunit ribosomal RNA", at positions 8 to 526 of the family's 1533-position model. The record is from RNAcentral.
AGAGUUUGAUCCUGGCUCAGAACGAACGCUGGCGGCAUGCCUAACACAUGCAAGUCGAGCGCCCUGGCAACGGGGAGCGGCGGACGGGCGAGGAACGCGUGGGUGGACCUGCCCUGUGGUGGGGGACAACCCCGGGAAACUGGGGCUGAUACCGCAUGUGCCCUGCGGGGCAAAGCCGAGAGGCGCCAUGGGAGGGGCCCGCGUUCGAUUAGCUUGACGGUGGGGUGACGGCCCACCGUGGCGACGAUCGUUAGCUGGUCUGAGAGGGUGGCCGGCCGCACCGGGACUGAGACACGGCCCGGACUCCUACGGGAGGCAGCAGUGGGGAAUAUUGGACAAUGGGCGGAAGCCUGACCCAGCGAUGCCGCGUGGGUGAAGAAGGUUUGCGGGUCGUAAAGCCCUUUCGGCGGGGAAGAUGGUGACGGUACCCGGAGAAGAAGCCCCGGCUAACUUCGUGCCAGCAGCCGCGGUAAUAC